UACAGAGGUGGCAAGCGUUGUUCGGAAUUACUGGGCGUAAAGGGCGCGUAGGCGGUCCCGUCAGUCCCUUGUGAAAUCCCCAGGCUUAACCUGGGAACUGCGUCGGAUACUGGAUGGCUUGAAUUCGGGAGAGGGAUGCAGAAUUCCAGGUGUAGCGGUGAAAUGCGUAGAUAUCUGGAGGAAUACCGGUGGCGAAGGCGGCAUCCUGGACCGACAUUGACGCUGAGGAGCGAAAGCUAGGGGAGCAAACGGG
This 253-nucleotide ribosomal RNA is filed under the name uncultured bacterium. RNAcentral's name for it is "partial 16S ribosomal RNA". It matches the Rfam family "Bacterial small subunit ribosomal RNA", at positions 524 to 776 of the family's 1533-position model. The record is from RNAcentral.